AAUAUACCAUAUUAAAACACUUCAAUAAAACUUCAUAACUAAUAACAAGUGUACAUGAAGAAAUUUAUAUUUGUAAAUAUGAGGAUAUUGAGGAUGACGGUAAUGAUGAUCAAUUUGAUAAAAUAAUUAAGAAAAAUAUCAAAAAUUAACCAACAACUGCACGCCUUAUUAUUGUUACAAAAGAUUAUAACAACCUUAAAAGAAAGUUAGUGUAUCUUCCACCUUAAUCAACACCUGAGGAUUAUGGACAUAUAUUGUUGCUUACCGGGUAUGCAGUUGACGCAAAUGGCAUAAAAGUUUGAGAAGCUCAAGAUUCUUAUGUAUUAAGCAAAAAAAUAGUCGGAUUUAUAAGAAUAGCUAGAGGAAAAAACUUAAUCUCCGAUUUCUUUGAGAUGAAAAUUCGACUUUGAGAUAAAUAUUUAUUAACCAUAUUAUUGAUAAGUCUUUUAUAUAGCAGGUAACUUUCUCAUCGUAAAUCAUGGAUUCAGAUCUUUCUUGAAGUUUUAAAACUCUAUGUAAUCGGUGGUAAAUCUAUUAGGAGAUCAGUAGUAAGUCUAUUAGGAGAUCGAUAAGGCUCUGAUAUUUAUUAAGUUUUAGAUUAGUUUGGAAUCAACGGACCUGCCUUAACGACACCAGAAUUUCACCCAGCACAAAACUCGUUCAGUAAUAACGAAGGUAAGUGACAAAACUUAUGUAUUCAUACCUAUUUAAUCCCAUAGAUUAUGAACCACUAAAAAAAAA
This 741-nucleotide small RNA is filed under the name Arabidopsis thaliana (thale cress). Its description in RNAcentral is "ATSL295080". The record is from RNAcentral. Lineage: Eukaryota; Viridiplantae; Streptophyta; Magnoliopsida; Brassicales; Brassicaceae.